UACGGGGGGAGCAAGCGUUGUUCGGAUUUACUGGGCGUAAAGGGCGCGUAGGCGGCCACCGCAAGUCAAUUGUGAAAUCUCCGGGCUUAACUCGGAAAGGUCAACUGAUACUGCGGGGCUAGAGUGCGGAAGGGGCAACUGGAAUUCUCGGUGUAGCGGUGAAAUGCGUAGAUAUCGAGAGGAGCACCUGCGGCGAAGGCGGGUUGCUGGGCCGACACUGACGCUGAUGCGCGAAAGCCAGGGGAGCGAACGGG
RNAcentral lists this ribosomal RNA (254 nucleotides) under uncultured bacterium. Its description in RNAcentral is "partial 16S ribosomal RNA". It matches the Rfam family "Bacterial small subunit ribosomal RNA", at positions 524 to 776 of the family's 1533-position model. The record is from RNAcentral.